Molecule: long non-coding RNA, 728 nt
Filed under: Apteryx haastii (Great spotted kiwi)
Lineage: Eukaryota; Metazoa; Chordata; Aves; Apterygiformes; Apterygidae
Description: lncRNA (ENSAHAG00000005449.1)
Source: RNAcentral
ACCGCCUCCAGGAGCGUCGCUUCAUGACCCGGCGCCCCGCGCGUAGCGGAGCGGGGAGGCGCUCGCCUGGUCCGCGGCGGCGGCGGCUGUGCCCGCGGCCUGGCUGGGGGCUCCCCGCUCGCUUUUCCUCUUCUUUUCUCCCUCGGUUGUAUUUAUAUGCAAACGCGGCCCGCAAAAUGAGCCGUGGUAAAUGAGACUGAGAAGUAACGUAAGCUGCUUUUUAUUUACUUGAACGGCGCCUUGUUGGUUUUUUUUGGGUUUUUUUUCUUUCAAAAUGCAACUAAAGAAGUUAAUAUGACGGCUGUGCUUAAAAAUAUCAACCGCUGCUUUCCUUGUGAUCCUGGCGGAACAGAAAAUCAUCCGAGCUGCAGCGCCGCCGCGAUAGGACACAAACCCUCAUUCCGUCCUUCUGUGUUGCACUUAUUGCACUUGCAUGCUUACUUCUCCCCCUGUGUUCUCCCCAAAUGGUUCACAUUUUUCUGGAAGUGCAGCACCCGAGACUGGACACGGUGCUGCAGUAUUGCUGACCUGUUUUACCCCAGCAUCCAUUUCUGCAGAUCUACCCAGAUCUACCAAGCCAGUCGUUUCCCUCUCAAGUGGACAGUACUACUUGGGAAAUUAUUUAGUGAACAGCUCUAAUUGCUUCAUUUUUAUUACUGGAAAAAUGGACAAUCAAGCACUAAAAGCAUCUUUUAAAAUAAACUUCCACAAGAUUAUUUUUUAAGUCA